AUCUUAGUCAAUGAUAGGGUUAGGAAUGUCUUAGAGCAAAGUUAGGUGCAGAUUAACCAUUGGGUGUCCUUCACAGUUUCACAAGCUGGUCCUCCAGACAGCCAUUGACAAAUUCCGAGUUAAAUAUGGUUGAUUUUGUAGCUAUUUCAUUUCCUCAACCACUAGAGGCAAAAGGUCUGUCUAAAGAGUAAAAAGUGAUUUCAGUUUGAAUCUAUAGGAAAGCGUGCAGUAUCAAAAGGCUCCUCAGUCCCAAGAUUUCACAGAUCAAGCAAAUGGGAAAGCAAGUUUUAUAUGAAACAUGUAUCCAUUUAUCCAUUUUUGAA
Cucurbita pepo subsp. pepo (vegetable marrow) is the source of this 323-nucleotide non-coding RNA. Lineage: Eukaryota; Viridiplantae; Streptophyta; Magnoliopsida; Cucurbitales; Cucurbitaceae. The record is from RefSeq and is a predicted model, not a curated record.